AGCAGCCGCGGUAAUUCCAGCUCCAAUAGCGUAUAUUAAAGUUGUUGCAGUUAAAAAGCUCGUAGUUGAAUUUCGAGAUCAAUUUGUUGGUCGUGCCUCGGUACGUACUGGCAAUUUUGAUUUCUCCCUUCUGAAGAACCAUGAUGUCAUUAAUUUGGUGUCAUGGGGAAUCAGGACCGUUACUUUGAAAAAUUGAGUGUUUAAAGCAGGCUCGCGCUUGAAUACAUUAGCAUGGAAUAAUGAAAUAGGACGUUUGAUUCUAUUUUGUUGGUUUCUAGGAUCGACGUAAUGAUUAAUAGGGAUAGUUGGGGGCAUUAGUAUUCAAUUGUCAGAGGUGAAAUUCUUGGAUUUAUUGAAGACUAACUACUGCGAAAGCAUUUGCCAAGGAUGUUUUCAUUAAUCAAGAACGAAAGUUAGGGGAUCGAAGACGAUCAGAUACCGUCGUAGUCU
Molecule: ribosomal RNA, 450 nt
Filed under: uncultured Glomus
Lineage: Eukaryota; Fungi; Glomeromycota; Glomeromycetes; Glomerales; Glomeraceae
Description: SSU rRNA
Rfam family: Eukaryotic small subunit ribosomal RNA
Source: RNAcentral